Molecule: transfer RNA, 81 nt
Organism: Puccinia sorghi
Lineage: Eukaryota; Fungi; Basidiomycota; Pucciniomycetes; Pucciniales; Pucciniaceae
Rfam family: tRNA
About the family: Transfer RNA (tRNA) molecules are approximately 80 nucleotides in length. Their secondary structure includes four short double-helical elements and three loops (D, anti-codon, and T loops).
Source: Rfam
UCCGAGUUAGUAUAUCGGCUAGUAUAUCCGCCUUUCAUGCGGGGGGCGCGGAGGAGACGGGUUCGAUUCCCGUACUCGGAA